GAAUAAAGUUAGGCACGUGUGCCUUUUUGUAUGUACCGUAUGAGUAAGGAUCGGCUAACUCCGUGCCAGCAGCCGCGGUAAUACGGAGGAUCCGAGCGUUAUCCGGAUUUAUUGGGUUUAAAGGGAGCGUAGGCGGAUGCUUAAGUCAGUUGUGAAAGUUUGCGGCUCAACCGUAAAAUUGCAGUUGAUACUGGGUGUCUUGAGUACAGUAGAGGCAGGCGGAAUUCGUGGUGUAGCGGUGAAAUGCUUAGAUAUCACGAAGAACUCCGAUUGCGAAGGCAGCUUGCUGGACUGUAACUGACGCUGAUGCUCGAAAGUGUGGGUAUCAAACAGGAUUAGAUACCCUGGUAGUCCACACAGUAAACGAUGAAUACUCGCUGUUUGCGAUAUACAGUAAGCGGCCAAGCGAAAGCGUUAAGUAUUCCACCUGGGGAGUACGCCGGCAACGGUGAAACUCAAAGGAAUUGACGGGGGCCCGCACAAGCGGAGGAACAUGUGGUUUAAUUCGAUGAUACGCGAGGAACCUUACCCGGGCUUAAAUUGCAGAUGAAUGUUCUGGAAACAGAUCAGCCGCAAGGCAUUUGUGAAGGUGCUGCAUGGUUGUCGUCAGCUCGUGCCGUGAGGUGUCGGCUUAAGUGCCAUAACGAGCGCAACCCUUAUCGAUAGUUACUAUCAGGUUAUGCUGGGGACUCUGUCGAGACUGCCGUCGUAAGAUGUGAGGAAGGUGGA
RNAcentral lists this ribosomal RNA (729 nucleotides) under uncultured Bacteroides sp. RNAcentral's name for it is "bacterial SSU rRNA". It matches the Rfam family "Bacterial small subunit ribosomal RNA", at positions 444 to 1177 of the family's 1533-position model. Lineage: Bacteria; Pseudomonadati; Bacteroidota; Bacteroidia; Bacteroidales; Bacteroidaceae. The record is from RNAcentral.